This is a non-coding RNA of Schistosoma mattheei, 78 nucleotides long. The record is from Rfam. NCBI's taxonomy places the organism in Eukaryota, Metazoa, Platyhelminthes, Trematoda, Strigeidida, Schistosomatidae.
AACUUUUUGAAUCUGUGCUGAGAUUUAUUCAGACACCAACCCAUUGGGGCUGAUUAGACUUCCAAGAUAAACGAAGUU